Molecule: transfer RNA, 67 nt
Filed under: Dryops luridus
Lineage: Eukaryota; Metazoa; Arthropoda; Insecta; Coleoptera; Dryopidae
Description: tRNA-Phe
Source: RNAcentral
ACUUAGGUAGCUUAUAUUUAGAGUUUGAUAUUGAAGAUAUCAAGGAAAUAAUUUUUAUUCUUAAGUA